CAUUUCCUCUUGUUUUGAGUAAGAGGUAUAGUCUGCCCACUGAGAGUUUGAAGGGCCGCAGUAUUUUGACUGUGCAAAGGUAGCAUAAUCAUUAGUCUUUUAAUUGAAGGCUGGGAUGAAGGGCUGCACAUAAUAAAAGCUGUCUCAUUUAAAUAAGUAAAUUUAACCUUUAAGUGAAAAGGCUUAAAUUAAUUAAGGGGACGAGAAGACCCUAUAGAGCUUUAUUGAAGUUUUAUUAGUAAUUUUAUAUGAUAUUUAAUAUAAGUAAAUUUUAAUUUUAUUGGGGAGAUAAGAAAAUAAAAAAUCUUUUCUUUUUAAAACUAUGAUAAAAGGUUAUAUGAUCCUUUUAUAAAGAUUACAAGAUUAAGUUACCUUAGGGAUAACAGCGUGAUUUUUCUGGAGAGUUCUUAUCGAUAGAAGAGUUUGCGACCUCGAUGUUGGACUAAGAAUAGAAUUAGGGGCAGCCCCUUAAAAUUCUAGGUCUGUUCGACCUUUAAAUUCUUACAUGAU
This 510-nucleotide ribosomal RNA is filed under the name Brachycercus harrisella. Its description in RNAcentral is "partial 16S ribosomal RNA". It matches the Rfam family "Bacterial large subunit ribosomal RNA", at positions 1814 to 2604 of the family's 2925-position model. Lineage: Eukaryota; Metazoa; Arthropoda; Insecta; Ephemeroptera; Caenidae. The record is from RNAcentral.